GCUGAACUAGGUGAUUGAAACUUUAAUAGUAAAAGAUGAUGCAUUGUAUCAGUCAAUUAGACUUUAUUUUAUCAUGGAGAGCAUAAAUUAUUUGAAGUCAUUGAUUCCAUACUGAUGAUUUAAUGGAUUUCUAGAAUUCUAAUUACAAUGUUUCCUAAUUUUAAUAUUAUAUCACCUCAUUUUAUGUUAUUAUUGCUAUAUACAAAGAUAUAAACAUACAUCAUAUUAUCAAAAAAUUAUAUACUAUCACUAUGUAUUAAUGAUGCUACAAAAAAUUAUCACAAUGCUAAUAAUCAAAUCCGAACCUAAGUUAGUGACUAAAAACAAAUCCAAACCUAACAUCAGUGACUAAAAGGAAAAAAAAUUUAGUUGAGUGGCAAGUUUCUAAAAACAUAAUAAGUUCGGUGACAAAAAA
This 415-nucleotide long non-coding RNA is filed under the name Daucus carota (carrot). Its description in RNAcentral is "long non-coding RNA (DCAR_LNC003841)". The record is from RNAcentral. Lineage: Eukaryota; Viridiplantae; Streptophyta; Magnoliopsida; Apiales; Apiaceae.